UUAGAAAGCACACGUUUUCCUCUUUCCACUCACUCCACGUUGCCUAAACCGCGGUUUCCUCUUCCCGGCGGCGCUGGCACUGCGGCAGCUGAGGCGCGCUCCGCUCCCGGGAACCUCGGGCCUUGGCGCGCCAUUUUCCGUCGCGCAGUUAGUUGCCGGGGCGUCCUGAGACCUUUUGAUCGGGUCCCUUUCGUCUCUAGGCCCCUCGGCGAUCUCCGAUCAGACUCACCCACCAGAGCACCGCCACAAAGGUCCGGGGAAGAAACCUCUCACCUCCCUGGAGUCUCAGCUCAGCGUUUGGGAAGGAACCGUUUAAAAACCCAGACAACCCCCAUGAAGGACAAUCGCUUGGCUAAAACCCAAAAGUCGCAUUUGGUACCUGGAAGUCAAAAGGGCAACCUCAGGAUGGGAAAGGCCAAAGCCCAAAGCAACCACCGCGCAUUCCUCACACAGCCCCAGGCAGGUGGAUCAAUAUCAUUUUGGGGGGGGCGCUAUCUGAGAAAUUCGCAGGAACUGAAUUCGAUGAGCACAAGCUGCUUCCCGAGUCCUUAGGGAAGGGCAGGCACCAUCCACUUAGCGCCGGAGCCUGGCCAUUCUCGGGGCACUCCCCCUCCUCCUCCUGGCGGGGCCUCUGGGCUCCUGCCUGUUCCAGCAGCUCCUGUCCUGCCCGCUCCUGGGAGGAUGGAGGCCACCGGGCCACCCGUGGCUAGAAGGUGCUGUUUGGAGGCCCUGGAGAAGUUCUUCCCUCGCCUCUGCUUCCUCUGCUCCCUGGUGAC
This 776-nucleotide long non-coding RNA is filed under the name Sus scrofa (pig). RNAcentral's name for it is "lncRNA (ENSSSCG00040046241.1)". Lineage: Eukaryota; Metazoa; Chordata; Mammalia; Artiodactyla; Suidae. The record is from RNAcentral.